CCUACGGGAGGCAGCAGUGAGGAAUAUUGGUCAAUGGCCGUAAGGCUGAACCAGCCAAGUCGCGUGAAGGAAGAAGGAUCUAUGGUUUGUAAACUUCUUUUAUAGGGGAAUAAUGGUAUCCAUGUGUGGAUAUUUGCAUGUACCCUAUGAAUAAGCAUCGGCUAACACCGUUCCAGCAGCCGCGGUAAUACGGAGGAUGCGAGUGUUAGCCGGAUUUAUGGGGGUUAAAGGGUGCGCAGGCGGAGGAUCAAGUCAGCGGUAAAAUUGAGAGGCUCAACCUCUACGAGCCGUUGAAACUGGGUAGCUUGAGUGAGCGAGAAGUAUGCGGAAUGCGUGGUGUAGCGGUGAAAUGCGUAGAUAUCAGGCAGAACUCCGGUUGCGAAGGCAGCAUACCGGCGCUCAACUGACGCUCAUGUACGAAAGUGUGGGUAUCGAACAGGAUUAGAUACCCUUGUAGUC
Molecule: ribosomal RNA, 459 nt
Filed under: uncultured bacterium
Lineage: Bacteria
Description: partial 16S ribosomal RNA
Rfam family: Bacterial small subunit ribosomal RNA
Source: RNAcentral